GCUAAAAUAUUAAAUGAUUUAGAAAGAAGAGUGAUGGCUCUAAUUGGUUGGGACUGUGUUCAAAUCCCAAAUACAGUACGACUAGAGCCAAUCAGCAACCCACAGAAUAAAGAAAUUAAUGAGGAAACUGAAACUACUCCUGUCUUACACGAAGUACCGAUCAGUGAUAAUGUUGUAAUAGAAGUAUCAGUGGACGAUGAAAUUAGACCCAUAUUAAACACAGAACAUGAAAAUGAAAUAAGUAAAGAUUCAAGUGAUCCUAACACAGCCACAGAAACUAACAAAGAAAACACGCAGCCAUUUAGAAG
RNAcentral lists this long non-coding RNA (308 nucleotides) under Androctonus crassicauda. Lineage: Eukaryota; Metazoa; Arthropoda; Arachnida; Scorpiones; Buthidae. The record is from RNAcentral.